This 103-nucleotide small nuclear RNA is filed under the name Triticum aestivum (bread wheat). The record is from RNAcentral. Lineage: Eukaryota; Viridiplantae; Streptophyta; Magnoliopsida; Poales; Poaceae. RNAcentral also lists the same sequence under 1 other name.
GUCCCUUCGGGGACACCUGAUAAAAUUGGAAUGAUACAGAGAAGAUUAGCAUGGCCCCUGUUCAAGGAUGACACGCACAAAUCGAGAAAUGGUCCAAUAUUUU